AUUUCUUGUCUUGCAGUAGCACUUGUACCAUGGGCUUAGUCCUGCCUCUCUGGAGUGAUACCCUAAUUCAUUUGGAUGGUGAUGGUGGGUUCAGUGUAUCAACGGAUAACAGAGUGCACAUAUUCAAACCUGUAUCUGUACAGGCAAUGUGGUCUGCACUACAGAGUUUACACAAGGCUUGUGAAGUGGCCAGAAUGCAUAACUACUACCCAGGCAGCCUGUUUCUCACCUGGGUGAGUUAUUACGAGAGCCACAUCAACUCAGAUCAGUCGUCAGUCAAUGAAUGGAAUGCUAUGCAGGAUGUGCAGUCCCACCGGCCUGACUCUCCAGCUCUCUUCACAGACAU
Molecule: non-coding RNA, 346 nt
Organism: Leptonychotes weddellii (Weddell seal)
Lineage: Eukaryota; Metazoa; Chordata; Mammalia; Carnivora; Phocidae
Source: RefSeq, a predicted model, not a curated record